This 252-nucleotide ribosomal RNA is filed under the name uncultured bacterium. Its description in RNAcentral is "partial 16S ribosomal RNA". It matches the Rfam family "Bacterial small subunit ribosomal RNA", at positions 524 to 776 of the family's 1533-position model. The record is from RNAcentral.
UACGGAGGAUGCGAGCGUUACCCGGAUUUAUUGGGUUUAAAGGGUGCGUAGGCGGAUCGUUAAGUCAGUGGUAAAAUUGCGGGGCUCAACCUCGUCGAGCCGUUGAAACUGGGUGCCUUGAGUGGGCGAGAAGUACGCGGAAUGCGUGGUGUAGCGGUGAAAUGCAUAGAUAUCACGCAGAACUCCGAUUGCGAAGGCAGCGUACCGGCGCCCAACUGACGCUGAAGCACGAAGGCGUGGGUAUCGAACAGG